AGGGGUUGACAGGGAUGAUUCGGAAGUGUAGGAUCAAACGGUUGACUCUUUCGGGGAGAAAAAAGCCCUGAAGAGAAAGACGCCCUGUGGAAACGCAGGGAGAGCGUCUCGGAUCAUUGACAACUAAAUAGGAGCAGCAACGUCCAAUUAAAGGGCCCUGAUCACGAAACACAGUAAUAAAAUGAAUCUGGAGAGUUUGAUCCUGGCUCAGAACGAACGCUGGCGGCGUGCCUAACACAUGCAAGUCCAACGUGAAAGGGGAGCAAUCCCCCGGUAGGGUGGCAAACGGGUGAGUAAUACAUGGGUGAUCUACCUUAGGGAUGGGGAUAUCCUUCCGAAAGGAGGGGCAAUACCGAAUAUUGUCCGGAGCCGUGAAGGGUUCCGGGGAAAGGGAGGCCUCUGAUACAAGCUUUCGCCUUAAGAUGAGCCC
This 430-nucleotide ribosomal RNA is filed under the name uncultured bacterium. RNAcentral's name for it is "partial 16S ribosomal RNA". The stretch from base 185 to 430 matches the Rfam family "Bacterial small subunit ribosomal RNA", at positions 1 to 232 of the family's 1533-position model. The record is from RNAcentral.